GAUGAACGCUGGCGGCGUGCUUAACGCAUGCAAGUCGAACGGAAAGGCCGAAGCUUGCUUCGGUACUCGAGUGGCGAACGGGUGAGUAACACGUGGGUGAUCUGCCCUGUACUUCGGGAUAAGCUUGGGAAACUGGGUCUAAUACCGGAUAUGACGAUCUCUUGGAUGGGGUUGUGGAAAGCUUUUGCGGUAUGGGAUGAGCUCGCGGCCUAUCAGCUUGUUGGUGGGGUAAUGGCCUACCAAGGCGUCGACGGGUAGCCGGCCUGAGAGGGUGUACGGCCACAUUGGGACUGAGAUACGGCCCAGACUCCUACGGGAGGCAGCAGUGGGGAAUAUUGCACAAUGGGCGCAAGCCUGAUGCAGCGACGCCGCGUGGGGGAUGACGGCCUUCGGGUUGUAAACUCCUUUCGCAAUCGACGAAGCCUUUUGGUGACGGUAGGUUGAGAAGAAGCACCGGCUAACUACGUG
Molecule: ribosomal RNA, 468 nt
Filed under: uncultured bacterium
Lineage: Bacteria
Description: partial 16S ribosomal RNA
Rfam family: Bacterial small subunit ribosomal RNA
Source: RNAcentral